AAGACCUUGCGCUUUUGGAGCGGCCGAUGCCUGAUUAGCUUGUUGGUAAGGUAAAAGCUUACCAAGGCUUCGAUCAGUAGCUGGUCUGAGAGGACGGCCAGCCACACUGGGACUGAGACACGGCCCAGACUCCUACGGGAGGCAGCAGUGGGGAAUCUUGGACAAUGGGGGCAACCCUGAUCCAGCCAUGCCGCGUGAGUGAAGAAGGCCUUCGGGUUGUAAAGCUCUUUCAGCCGGAACGAAACGGUUACGGUUAAUACCCGUGAUUACUGACGGUACCGGAAGAAGAAGCACCGGCUAACUACGUGCCAGCAGCCGCGGUAAUACGUAGGGUGCGAGCGUUAAUCGGAAUUACUGGGCGUAAAGCGUGCGCAGGUGGUUUUGUAAGUCAGAUGUGAAAGCCCCGGGCUCAACCUGGGAACU
Molecule: ribosomal RNA, 423 nt
Filed under: uncultured bacterium
Lineage: Bacteria
Description: bacterial SSU rRNA
Rfam family: Bacterial small subunit ribosomal RNA
Source: RNAcentral